GGGCCCGCACAAGCGGAGGAACAUGUGGUUUAAUUCGAUGAUACGCGAGGAACCUUACCCGGGCUUAAAUUGCAACAGAAUAUAUUGGAAACAGUAUAGCCGUAAGGCUGUUGUGAAGGUGCUGCAUGGUUGUCGUCAGCUCGUGCCGUGAGGUGUCGGCUUAAGUGCCAUAACGAGCGCAACCCUUAUCUUUAGUUACUAACAGGUCAUGCUGAGGACUCUAGAGAGACUGCCGUCGUAAGAUGUGAGGAAGGUGGGGAUGACGUCAAAUCAGCACGGCCCUUACGUCCGGGGCUACACACGUGUUACAAUGGGGGGUACAGAAGGCAGCUACACGGCGACGUGAUGCUAAUCCCAAAAACCUCUCUCAGUUCGGAUCGAAGUCUGCAACCCGACUUCGUGAAGCUGGAUUCGCUAGUAAUCGCGCAUCAGCCAUGGCGCGGUGAAUACGUUCCCGGGCCUU
This 463-nucleotide ribosomal RNA is filed under the name uncultured bacterium. RNAcentral describes it as "bacterial SSU rRNA". It matches the Rfam family "Bacterial small subunit ribosomal RNA", at positions 917 to 1382 of the family's 1533-position model. The record is from RNAcentral.